GGUUGACCUCGGAUCAGGUAGGGAUACCCGCUGAACUUAAGCAUAUCAAUAAGCGGAGGAAAAGAAACCAACCGGGAUUGCCUCAGUAACGGCGAGUGAAGCGGCAAGAGCUCAAAUUUGAAAUCUGACCCCUUCGGGGUCCGAGUUGUAAUUUGCAGAGGAUGCUUCGGAUGCGGCCCCUGUCUAAGUGCCCUGGAACGGGCCGUCGGAGAGGGUGAGAAUCCCGUCUGGGAUAGGGUGUCCGUGUCCGUGUGAAGCUCCUUCGACGAGUCGAGUUGUUUGGGAAUGCAGCUCUAAAUGGGUGGUAAAUUUCAUCUAAAGCUAAAUACUGGCCGGAGACCGAUAGCGCACAAGUAGAGUGAUCGAAAGAUGAAAAGCACUUUGAAAAGAGAGUUAAACAGCACGUGAAAUUGUUGAAAGGGAAGCGCAUGCGACCAGACUCGCUCGCGGGGUUCAGCCGGCAUUCGUGCCGGUGUACUUCCCCGCGGGCGGGCCAGCGUCGGUUUGGGCGGCCGGUCAAAGGCCUCCGGAAUGUAUCACCUCUCGGGGUGUCUUAUAGCCGGGGGUGCAAUGCGGCCAGCCUGGACCGAGGAACGCGCUUCGGCACGGACGCUGGCAUAAUGGUCGUAAGCGACC
This 636-nucleotide ribosomal RNA is filed under the name Aspergillus kanagawaensis. Its description in RNAcentral is "eukaryotic LSU rRNA". It matches the Rfam family "Eukaryotic large subunit ribosomal RNA", at positions 1 to 649 of the family's 3401-position model. Lineage: Eukaryota; Fungi; Ascomycota; Eurotiomycetes; Eurotiales; Aspergillaceae. The record is from RNAcentral.